RNAcentral lists this ribosomal RNA (2007 nucleotides) under Triticum aestivum (bread wheat). Its description in RNAcentral is "partial small subunit ribosomal RNA". The record is from RNAcentral. Lineage: Eukaryota; Viridiplantae; Streptophyta; Magnoliopsida; Poales; Poaceae.
CCUGGUCCGGAUGAUAUUCCGGUUGAAUUCUAUCAACACUGCUGGGAUGUAGUGGCCCCAGACCUCCUUUGCCUGUUUGAAUGGUUUCAUGAUGGCAAGCUAGAUGUACAACGACUUAACUAUGGCAUCAUAACUUUGUUGCCUAAGUCGACUGAUGCUAAUAGAAUCCAACAAUAUAGACCCAUUUGUCUAUUGCGUUGCCCCUAUAAACUUCUUACUAAAGCCAUGGAUAUUAGAGCUAGCAAAUAUGCCCACAAGCUGUUUAGUAUUCACCAGAAUGCUUUUAUUAAGGGGAGACACAUAGUGGAUGGAAUCCUAUCUCUCCAUGAGAUUUUGCAUUAUACUCAUGUCAGAAAGCAGGUUGGAGUGAUUUUGAAAAUCGACUUUGAAAAAGCAUAUGAUAAAGUAAAUUGGGAUUUUCUGCUUGACUGUCAUAGGAAACGUGGGUUUAAUUCUAAGUGGUGUGGGUGGGUCUCUCAAAUUCUAAAGAAUGGCACGGUCAGUGUCAAGAUCAAUGAUGAGGCGGGUCCUUACAUCCAAAGUGCUAAGGGGGUGAGGCAGGGGGAUCCUCACUCCCCUUUCCUAUUUAAUAUUGCGGCUGAUUGCCUGACCAAAAUGGUACUUACAGCACAAAAGAAUGGUCUCAUUAAAGGAUUAGCUGUUGAUCUUAUUGAGAAUGGGGUUUGCAUCCUGCAAUACGCGGAUGACACGGUACUUUGUUUUGAGUAUGAUAUUGACAAAGCUGUGAAUAUCAAGCUCUUGCUUUAUCUCUUUGAGCUUAUGUCUGGGCUUAAGAUCAAUUUUGAGAAGANNNNNNNNNNNNNNNNNNNNNNNNNNNNNNNNNNNNNNNNNNNNNNNNNNNNNNNNNNNNNNNNNNNNNNNNNNNNNNNNNNNNNNNNNNNNNNNGGAGUCCCUGUUACUUACUCCACUCUCAAGAAUGCGGAUCUAUAUUUCCUUGACGGAAAAAUGAUCAAAAAACUUGAUGCCUGGGUAGCAUAUGCGGCAUCUUCUGGAGCUAGACUAACACUGUUAGGGUCUAGUUUGGAUGGAAUUCCCUCUUUCCUCAUGUCAAUGUUCCUCUUCAAUAAAACCUUUAUUGAGAAGAUGGAUAAACAUCGUAGACGUUUCUUUUGGAGGAGGAAAAAAAAGAAACGUGGGUACCAUAUGGUUAAGUGGACGAGGAUAUGUCGAUCAAAAAAUAUUGGGGGACUAGGGAUUAAAGAUCUUCAUAAGCAAAAUAUUGCCCUACUCGCUAAGUGGUGGUGGAAAUUAGAAACGAGUGAUGGGCUAUGGCAACGUAUUGUAAGAGCUAGAUACUUCAGGAACAAAACAGUGGCCACCUUUUGGAGCCGCUUUUCGGACUCUCCCUGCUGGAAAGCGAUUAUGAAGGUCAAGGACUCUUAUAUGGCAGGAAGAAAAGUUAAGAUCGAAAGUGGAAACCUGGCUAGGGUUUGGUAUGAUCCAUGGGUGGAAGAUACUCUGCUGAAAGAUCGCUUUCCUGAUCUUUUUGGUAUUUGCCAGGAACAGGAAUGCACGGUUGCAUCUUGGGCAUCUAACAAUUAUGAACUUGGCUUCAGGCGGAGACGGGUGGGGGUGUUGGGUGAGCAGUGGGCUUGGAUGGUUAUGGAAGCUAAGAAACUGUCGUUGAGUGACUCCCCAGAUAGAAUCUUGUGGGCUUUUGGUAGUAAAGGGAAGUUUACUACUAAAUCUUUAUAUGGAUGGUUGGAAAGAAAUCUUUCGGGUCCUAACUAUAGGAUGGUGUGGAAAGCACCCAUCCCGCUGAAAAUUAAGAUUUUCCUUUGGCAGCUGUUUCAAAAUGCAGUUCUCACUCGCGAUAAUAUGCGCAUUAGAAACUGGCCUGGGAAUCCUGUGUGCUCAUUCUGUACUGAAGUCGAAACAGCAAAUCAUCUGUUCUUUACCUGUUCGCUUGCUCGGUCAGUUUGGGGGGUGUUGGGCAUGACGGCUGGGGCAUCCUGUUGCCCUCGCUCUCUGUGGCAAAGCUUUGCU